Molecule: ribosomal RNA, 365 nt
Filed under: uncultured bacterium
Lineage: Bacteria
Description: bacterial SSU rRNA
Rfam family: Bacterial small subunit ribosomal RNA
Source: RNAcentral
GAUGAACGCUGGCGGCGUGCCUAACACAUGCAAGUCGAGCGAUUUACUUCUGUAAAGAGCGGCGGACGGGUGAGUAACGCGUGGGUAACCUGCCCUGUACACACGGAUAACAUACCGAAAGGUAUGCUAAUACGAGAUAAUAUACUUUUAUCGCAUGGUAGAAGUAUCAAAGCUUUUGCGGUACAGGAUGGACCCGCGUCUGAUUAGCUAGUUGGUAAGGUAACGGCUUACCAAGGCGACGAUCAGUAGCCGACCUGAGAGGGUGAUCGGCCACAUUGGAACUGAGACACGGUCCAAACUCCUACGGGAGGCAGCAGUGGGGAAUAUUGCACAAUGGGCGCAAGCCUGAUGCAGCGACGCCGCGU